This is a non-coding RNA of Pocillopora verrucosa, 446 nucleotides long. Lineage: Eukaryota; Metazoa; Cnidaria; Anthozoa; Scleractinia; Pocilloporidae. The record is from RefSeq and is a predicted model, not a curated record.
UUUCAGCUUCUGCUCACGAGGCGCAGCAGAGUUUGUCACCGAUGUUCAUACCAUAUUUUGAUGUCUUCUGUGAUCUAUUAUUAUACAGAACCAAGGCAACAUAAAAUAUAUUUGUUUUAUAUGAUAAAAAGCAGCAUGUUUGAUGGUGACAUCAUCUCUACGUCUGUCCUCCUAUAGACGAUAACAAAAGAAGAAAAUGAGAAUCUACUUAACUACAAACUUUUAUCUGCCGAGACCAGAGAAUGAAGAUGAAAAAAAUAUUGUUCCUUCACGGAAGCUGAGAAUGGAGGGUCAUCUUCUAGAGGAAGUACAAGUGUAUGAUAAAAGUGUGAAAUGCAUGAUACAGUGAAACUCAUUUAAACGGACACAUGCAGAACCCUUGCUAAUUUGUGCUGAAAAGGGGGUGUCCAUAUGAAACAGCUUCUAGUAAAUUGCAUAAUGAUCAC